GCCUGGAUGGCUCAGUCAGUUGAGCAUCUGACUUUAGGUUAGGUCUCACAGUUCGUGGGUUCAAGCCCCACAUAGGGCU
This 79-nucleotide transfer RNA is filed under the name Felis catus (domestic cat). It matches the Rfam family "tRNA". From Rfam's summary of the family: Transfer RNA (tRNA) molecules are approximately 80 nucleotides in length. Their secondary structure includes four short double-helical elements and three loops (D, anti-codon, and T loops). The record is from Rfam by way of RNAcentral. Lineage: Eukaryota; Metazoa; Chordata; Mammalia; Carnivora; Felidae.